CUGCGCCACAAGUGGCAAUCGUUAUUAUUGGGCCUAAAGCGUCCGUAGCCGGUUCGGCAAAUCUCUUGUGAAAUCGUCAAGCUCAACUUGACGGCGUGCUUGAGACACUACCGAACUCGAGACCGGGAGGAGUCAGAGGUAUUCCAGGGGGAGCGGUAAAAUGUGAUAAUCCCUGGAGGAUCACCUAUGGCGAAGGCAUCUGACCAGAACGGAUCUGACGGUGAGGGACGAAGGCUAGGGGAGCAAACCGGAUUAGAUACCCGAGUAGUCC
RNAcentral lists this ribosomal RNA (271 nucleotides) under uncultured archaeon. Its description in RNAcentral is "partial 16S ribosomal RNA". It matches the Rfam family "Archaeal small subunit ribosomal RNA", at positions 477 to 747 of the family's 1478-position model. The record is from RNAcentral.